RNAcentral lists this long non-coding RNA (2114 nucleotides) under Lathyrus oleraceus (garden pea). RNAcentral describes it as "Pisum sativum (pea) long non-coding RNA (PSAT_LNC029904)". The record is from RNAcentral. Lineage: Eukaryota; Viridiplantae; Streptophyta; Magnoliopsida; Fabales; Fabaceae.
AAAAGGAAAUGGGCCAAGGGGGUGAUAAGUGAGAAUAAGUGGUGAUGAAAUAGAAAAAUAAAGAUGCCCAUUCAUUCAGUACCAAACGAGAUGAAGAAGAGAGGCAAUCUGAUUUCCCUCCCUCCAAAUUUAAACUUUCAAACCAUUUCCCGCUCCACUGGGUCGGAGCUCGUCGGCGGCGGCGACGGAGCUCAUACCACCAUCCAUAUAAACCAGACUCACCCCUCUAUCCUAUUGAACACGAAAAUCAAACUCACUCAACCUAAAUCCUGAACCCAAUGAUGAAUCGAAGGAAAUGGUGGACGAACCCUAGAACCGAAAACAAAAAUUAAAUGUUGGACUCGGCUCAAUCAGGUCUAAAAUCUUAGGGGAAAUGUUCCCCUGGUUGAACUCUACACAGUGGUAUCUCACACGUAAGAAAAUAAGUUGUUUUUAGCAAGCUACAUUGUCGGAGAAGAUGGCCGGAAAAGCAACAGGUAAGUGUUAUUUCUCUCCUUUCUCUCUCAUAUCUCACUUCUUCUUCUACUUUGAGGGAUUAUGAGAAAGAUGCCGAGAUUUCUCUUGAGUGUGUUUUCAAUCCCGAUAUUCAACCCCAAACCUUUUUUCAUUAUGAAAGUAUCCUUUUAUAGUGGAGCAAAUAUGGUUUGUAGUUCUUGAGAGGGAGAGAGGUUAGUAGACUUUGUUGGUGCAUCAUUAUGUUUGUCCAAAAAUAUGUUUCGAUUCUGAAAAGUGCAUUGCACUUGUACCUUUUGCUUGCUUUUCUUGUCUUGUUAUGGAAUGUUUCUCUUUCUUAGGUUUUUACUGUAGUAAAUAGUAACUAAGUGAGUUUCGGUUUUUUAGGUAGCUUGAUUUUGUUUGGAUUGUUGCUACGUUUUAUGGUUGAUUCACUUCCUUGAUUCAGCUACUAUGCAUUAUUGCUUGGUUAUGAUGAAAACCUUGGAUAUGAUUGCAGGUUGUUAAUGGUGUGAAUUACCUGUUGCAGGAUUGAUGAAUGGAAUUGUUUAGGAUUGCUUGCUGUAGGUUGUGGAUAUGGUUGUGGUUUUGUUGUUAAUGUCUAGUUGUUGUUUUGUAGAUCAAAUGGUUUAGGUGUUUGGUGUACUGAAUGGAGAGUCAUGUUUAGGUCUUGAUGGUUUGAUUGAAUGCGGGUUCUGCUCAUGGUUGCUAGGUUUCUACAUGUAUCAAUGGUUUUGCCUUAGAUCAUGCUUUGGUCUAUUGCAGGUUGUGUUAGCAAAGUAGUUUGCAGGUCUGGCUUGGUCAUGUUCAUGAUCUGUUGCAGGUUGCAUUUGGUGCAGGCCUGGCUUAUUAGCAUGGUUAUGUUGAGCUGAUGUUUUACAAGGCUAUAGGUCUGUUGUGUAUGCUGCUACAUGAAUGUUGUUUUGUUACCCAACGCUCAUGAUUGGGUCAAUCCAAACUGGUUUAUAUGGAUUAUGCAUUGUGUUGAUGCAGCUUUUGUUUUCAAUGUUAGGCCUAUCAAUGAUGGUAUGGUAGUGAAUGACAUUGUGUGGCAUGUCAACUUGUUAGGCAUGUUAUUCAUUGUCUUAAAUAAACUAAUAUGUUGUUUUAUUGUUAGUGUUGAUGGCAGGUGGUACUUGAUGCUGCAGCAGGUUGGUUUGCAAUGUUAGUGUGCCUUGACAUAGGUUUACAAGUUCUUUUUUGCUUUGAUAAUGGCUAUGGUUAUGUUUAGGUUACAAUGUGAUGGAUGUGCAUUGCUUCUUUUGUUGUAUGACUUGGUUGUUUGGAUUUGUAAUAAUGCCUUGGAUUGGUUAUGAUUGAUGGCAUGAACAUGACAUGGUUAUUUUUUUGUAGGUUGGCAUGAUGAACAUGGUUGAAAUCAAGGCAUGACUUGCAAAUGAAGUGAGACAUGGUGGAAACAAGAAAAUAUGGACCUUAAUGAAUUAUGGAAGAAUGGAGGAAUGGAUUAGGGUUUAGGAUGGUCAAAGUUGAUUAGUUGACUUUGGGCAACCAUUUGACCAAAAAGUCAAUAGUUGACCAAAAGUUAACUUAGGUAGAAAAGUCAAUUUUUUUUGUGUAAUCUCUUAUGUAUGGACAUUUGUAAUGAAAUAAGCAUUUGGUGAAUGGAAAUGAUAUUUGAAUGAAAUUUAUUGUUAAUUAAA